This is a long non-coding RNA of Mauremys mutica (yellowpond turtle), 211 nucleotides long. RefSeq lists it as uncharacterized. The transcript is spliced from 3 exons. The record is from RefSeq and is a predicted model, not a curated record. Lineage: Eukaryota; Metazoa; Chordata; Testudines; Geoemydidae.
GGUGUGGGGCUCGGCAGGGGGCACUCACCUUUUCUUUUGAUUAUUUUCUAGAUUUUUAACAUUUCCAGCACGUUUACCCGGACGGAGGCAGAUUAUUUGGAGAUGUUCGUUCAUGUUGCAAAGGAGGUCGGCGAGACCUGCAAUCUGCCCCCAAUCCAGCGCCUGGACUUGUUGGUGCGAGAUUGGCAGCUCUCCGGAGCCUAUGGCGCAG